Long non-coding RNA from Mus musculus (house mouse), 1308 nucleotides. RefSeq annotates it as predicted gene, 32259. The record is from RefSeq and is a predicted model, not a curated record. The transcript is spliced from 3 exons. NCBI's taxonomy places the organism in Eukaryota, Metazoa, Chordata, Mammalia, Rodentia, Muridae.
UUUAGCAGACUAGCAGUAAUAGCUUUUCCUUAGGGCCAAUGACUUAUCUAGUCACACUAUUUUGAUUAAACAGUGAUGCCAAAUAUGGGUUUCAACUUGUGGAGAGGACUGUAAAUCUCAUUAGAAACUGGUUGGUUACUUUCAUGACCUAUAUGUCACUAUUACACCAGUGGGCAUGUAUUGCAAGGUUGGUCAUUAUUGUAACUCACAGGGUUCACAUCUGGGUAACACUGAUUAUUACCAGCGUUAUUCUCCUUGGUAGCAUGGAGGGACAGAGCACGUUCCAGUACUGUGACAGCCAGCCAGGAGGAAUGAAGUUUCCAUCUUGUAAGAGCCCAUUCGUCUAUCCUGGAUCUCCAGUUCUUGUCCUGGCUGGACCCGCUCUCCUGAUGUACCCACGCGAGGCCUUGCCAGCAGCAUUGGAGCAUACAUUCAGUAUGGUGUCCUAGGCACACACAGCUGCUGAAUCAGGAGACACAUCAACAUGGAGAUGGCCUCACUGAUAUAGCAGGGGCAGAGUGUAUUCUCCAUUCUUCAGGGAGUUAGACUUUGCAAGGCCUCGGUGCCACGAAGAGCAUCCUUCUCGGUGACAUCACAGGGACAAAUUUGCCUCUUCUGAAGUGAGGUCUUGAGAGCGUCCUACACCUCGGCUGGCUGCUCCUCAUCUAUGGCAAGAUCAUCCCCUUCCUGUCUUCUCAUGAUCAUCUCCAUCAAUGAUUCCCUAGUGUAGAGGAAUGCCAGUGUGGGGGAGGUGGGAGUGGGUGAGUGAGAGGGGGAGCAUCCUCAUAGAAGCAGGGGGAGGGGGGAAGGGGGUUCUGGAGGGGAAACCAGGAAAGGGAAUGACAUUUGAAAUGUAAAUACAUAAAAUAAUUAAUAAAAACGGAAAAAAUAAAAUAAAAUAUUAAAAAAAUCAGUUGUUUGUUUCUUAAAGACAAGAAAGGAGAAGAGGGACAUUGGAACUAGUUGGGAAGAGUAAGGAGACAGUGAAAGUAGGAAAAGGAAAUGAGAGUGAGUAGCCAGUUGUAUAUGACCUAAUAUAUUAUAUAUAAUAUACAUUAUAUAUAAUUAUGUGUAAGUAUAAUAUUUUAUAUACAUAUAUAACAAUCCAUACAUAUAUAAAAUAUAAUUAUAUAUAAUAUGCUCAAUAUGCAUAGUUAUAUAAUAUAUAAUUUAAUAUAUACUAUAUAGUAUAUAUAAUGUAUUAGGUCACAUAUGUAUAUAAUAUAUGAAAAUGUCAUAAUGAAACUAAUCAGAUAAUUAGUAUGUAAAAAUAAAAGCUAGAAAAAAAUCAUGUUUUUAUGAAGAAAA